GGCCGAUGCAAUCACCAAUAACCUCCUAAGUGACAUGGUGAGAAGGGUGAAGAGUGAUUUGAUCGCUGAGAUUAAACUUUGAAGAUCAACAUACAAAUUGAAGCAAAUUGAAUUGAAGAACUCUUCUUUUGGUCAAGGGGAAGUUUUCUCCAAAAAAUUUUAUGGAUCUCUCAAAAAUCCUCCUUCAUACAAUGUAUUGGAAGCCAUAAAUAGGAUAUGAUUCCAAACUCUAACUUGAGCAAACCUGCUACAAACUUAAUAUGAAACAUGCUAGAAUUAUUCAACUAAAAAUAUAGAAACCAAACUAAAAUCUGACACUAUCCAAUGCAAAAUUUAUUGAAAAAUCCGGUGAAAUAUUCACCCACAAUCUGCUGCUCCUGCAGAGCUUGGCAUGGUCCAACUCAUGGUUUUCGAAACCGUCUUGAACUGCCUGAUUCGGGGUGUUUCGAACUGAACCAAUGG
Molecule: long non-coding RNA, 462 nt
Filed under: Elaeis guineensis (African oil palm)
Lineage: Eukaryota; Viridiplantae; Streptophyta; Magnoliopsida; Arecales; Arecaceae
Description: long non-coding RNA (EGUI_LNC078547)
Source: RNAcentral